GGGGUUGUGGCUCAGAGGUAGAGCGCUCGUCUUGCAUGUGUGAGACCCUGGGUUCGAUCCUCAGCACCACA
Molecule: transfer RNA, 71 nt
Filed under: Marmota monax (woodchuck)
Lineage: Eukaryota; Metazoa; Chordata; Mammalia; Rodentia; Sciuridae
Description: tRNA.Ala
Rfam family: tRNA
About the family: Transfer RNA (tRNA) molecules are approximately 80 nucleotides in length.
Source: RNAcentral